RNAcentral lists this unclassified non-coding RNA (609 nucleotides) under Athalia rosae (coleseed sawfly). RNAcentral's name for it is "misc RNA ENSAEAG00005008293.1". The record is from RNAcentral. Lineage: Eukaryota; Metazoa; Arthropoda; Insecta; Hymenoptera; Athaliidae.
AAUAAAGAAAAAAAAAAAAGAAAAUUGUAUUACCUGGUCAGGAGCCUCAAGUUGUUUUCGGGAUUGCCGAGCUGAUUUUGCCCGAGCAGUAGUUCCUCGAUAGCAGGAAAUGCGAUUGUGCUAUCCGGAAUUCUAGAGAGACCACCUUUGCUCAGAUCCAAGAGACGCGGACAAGAAGGAUGCUGCGUCGCCUGAAAUAUAAAGAAUUUGCCAAUCUUAUCGUCUACUAUUCUCAAUUUUCAAAUAUCGAGUCGAAGACAAAGACGUUUAAUACCGUGACAUUUCACGAGCCUUGUGCAGAGGAAAUGCAAAAUCCUCGCUGUCGAAGCCAUCGCUGUGGUAAUAACAAGGACUUCAAAUUAUUAUGUAUUAUAAUCUGUAUAUAGAGGUGGUCUGAUCGUUCUUGUCCUUUGUGAAACAACGAACGAGGUAUUUGGGUAUGAAAUUUCUCUUUGGCGAAACGAAAGAAACGAGAUAAAAAAAGAUAACGAGACUAGUUGAAAUCGGCCCUCGAAGACGAGAAGAAGAAUUUCCAAAAUUUUUGGAUUCUUGGAUUCGUGGAUGGAGCAUUUUUCGUCCUAGACAUCUCGUCCUAAUUUUGAUGAAGAA